Molecule: long non-coding RNA, 534 nt
Organism: Dalotia coriaria
Lineage: Eukaryota; Metazoa; Arthropoda; Insecta; Coleoptera; Staphylinidae
Exons: 2
Source: RefSeq, a predicted model, not a curated record
GUCAGGGGAUUGUGUAACUUAAUGAAACUUACUUUUUCUCGAGUUGUUUGGUGUUUUUGUUUAAUUUGUAAUCAAAAACUUGCAUCAUCCACGCGUAAUUAUGUUUUUCAUACGUCAAUCUACAUACCUACAUUUUUUUUAUUUAUCUGUGUUAAUUGUGUAAAUCUUGGAUUAUAUAAAAAGCAGCUUGGAGUUGAAGGUAGCAUCAAAUCAUCUGAUACAUCUUAAGAAAUCACAACAAAAAAUAUAAAAUUUUAUUAAAAAAUGAAUGUUUCGACUGUUUUCUUCGUAGUUUUGGCAGUUUUUGCUUUGGUACAAACUGCAUGGAUGAUGCCUCAACCUAAUGGUGGAGGAGCCUUAAUCGACAUUUCUUCUGUUAUCGAAGAUCCAAACAUCUUAAACUGCCUUAAUAUCCUUGGACAUUAAUGUUUUGAGUGUGAAGGAUGUUAAACAUUAAUAAUAUGUUGUUUAAACUAUAUUAUUAAUCCCUACAGAUCUUGUAAAUAAAUAAAUUCAUCUGUAAAUACUUAAAAA